This 497-nucleotide ribosomal RNA is filed under the name uncultured bacterium. RNAcentral's name for it is "partial 16S ribosomal RNA". It matches the Rfam family "Bacterial small subunit ribosomal RNA", at positions 29 to 507 of the family's 1533-position model. The record is from RNAcentral.
AGUGAACGCUGGCGGCAGGCCUAAUACAUGCAAGUCGAACGGCAACACAGUAAGCGCUUGCCUCUACGGGUGGCGACGGGCGGAUGGGUGAGGCAUGCAUCGCAAUCCUCUAUUACGGGGGGGACAACGUAAGGCAACUUAUGCUAAUAGCGCAUAUGAUCUACCGCAGGAAUCAAUGGUUCAUCGGACCUUUCCCGACUCAAUUAGCUGGAUCCGGGUCGCAUUAGCUAGUUGGUAAGGUAACGGCUAACCAAGGCAACGAUGCGUAGCCGACCUGAGAGGGUGAUCAGCCACACUGGAACUGAGACACGGUCCAGACUCCUACGGGAGGCAGCAGUAGGGAAUAUUGCGCAAUGGGCGCAAGCCUGAUCCAGCCAUGCCGCGUGGGUGAUGAAGGUCUUCGGGUCGUAAAGCCCUUUUGUUAGGAAAGAAAAGAAGCGUGUGAAUACACGGCUGUUCUGACGGUACCCAAAGAGUAAGCACCGGCUAACUUCGUG